Molecule: unclassified non-coding RNA, 379 nt
Filed under: uncultured Gammaproteobacteria bacterium
Lineage: Bacteria; Pseudomonadati; Pseudomonadota; Gammaproteobacteria
Description: contains 16S-23S intergenic spacer region
Source: RNAcentral
UCCGGUUUGGCACCGGCAGUCUUCCCAGAGUCCCCGACAUUACUCGCUGGCAACUGGGAACGGGGGUUGCGCUCGUUGCGGGACUUAAGGCAACACCUCACGGCACGAGCUGACGACAGCCAUGCAGCACCUGUGUUCCGGUUCCCUUUCAGGCACACCCACCUUUCAGCAGGCUUCCAGACAUGUCAAGGGUAGGUAAGGUUGUUCGCGUUGCAUCGAAUUAAUCCACAUCAUCCACCGCUUGUGCGGGUCCCCGUCAAUUCCUUUGAGUUUUAACCUUGCGGCCGUACUCCCCAGGCGGUCAACUUCACGCGUUAGCUACGGUACUGAGGAAUCGCUCCCCCAACACCCAGUUGACAUCGUUUAGGGCGUGGACUAC